UAGUAAUGUAGUUAAUUUAUUAAGAGGACCUGAAAUGACCAUGUAGACAUAUUUAAUACUGAAGAA
Otolemur garnettii (small-eared galago) is the source of this 66-nucleotide small nucleolar RNA. NCBI's taxonomy places the organism in Eukaryota, Metazoa, Chordata, Mammalia, Primates, Galagidae. The record is from Ensembl.